CCCGCAGGGUGCUGGAGCAGUAUACUCGGGGAGCGCUGGAACCCGUCGGCAGGGGGAGGGGAACUCCUUGGAGGAGGUGCCUUCUCAGGGGAGAUCUCAGAAAAUCAGUGAGUUGAGGAGGGUUCCUGUGUCUCAGAGCUGAAGAAUGGAUCUUGCGGACAAGAGGGUGAAGUCAAAUGAAAGUUUAUCAUGCGAAGGUGAGAGCAGAGAGGAGGGCUCUCGAGCGUAAGAGGGGCCAAAUGCGCUGCCACUGAGGAUGUUUAUGUAUUAUGCAACCAUGGUGGAUAACCUUAUCAUCUCAAAGAGAAACUGCAUGGCCGUGAGCAGUCACUCCCCACCCUAUCUCCAGCCUGGGUAACACUCAGUGUGUCUGGGGAUGUCCUUUCUCUGGACAUUUCCAAUGAAUGGAAUCAGACAAUAUGUAGUCUUUUGUGUUUGACUCCCUUCAUUAGCCUGAUGGGGUUUUUAUUAAGAUUUUAUUUUUAAGAUUUUAUUUUUAAUAUCUUCCAUGUUAUUCCUAUGCUCCAUCAGUAAAUGAAACCAUGUGAUAACUGACUUUCUCUGCUUGACUUAUUUCACACAGCAUAGUCUCCUCCAGACCCGUCCCUGUUGAUACAAUAGUUGGGUAUGCAUCCUUGCUUCUUCUU
This is a long non-coding RNA of Mustela erminea (ermine), 647 nucleotides long. RefSeq lists it as uncharacterized. The record is from RefSeq and is a predicted model, not a curated record. Lineage: Eukaryota; Metazoa; Chordata; Mammalia; Carnivora; Mustelidae. The transcript is spliced from 5 exons.